Molecule: ribosomal RNA, 468 nt
Filed under: uncultured bacterium
Lineage: Bacteria
Description: SSU rRNA
Rfam family: Bacterial small subunit ribosomal RNA
Source: RNAcentral
AGCCUGAACGCUGGCGGCGUGGCUAAGACAUGCAAGUCGCACGGGGUAGCAAUAUCCAGUGGCGAACGGGUGAGUAAUGAAUCGCUAAUGUACCCCGGACUCUGAGAUAGCCGGCCGAAAAGGCCGGGUAAUAUCAGAUGAUAUGACCGAUCCGCCUGGAUUGGUCCUCAAAGGUCCGCCGGUCUGGGAGCAGGCGAUUUCGUAUCAGCUAGUUGGUGAGGUAACGGCUCACCAAGGCAACGACGCGUAGCCGGACUGAGAGGUUGGCCGGCCACAUUGGGACUGAGACACUGCCCAGACUCCUACGGGGGCUGCAGUAACGAAUCUUCCGCAAUGCACGAAAGUGUGACGGAGCGACGCCGCGUGUAGGACGAAGCCCUUCGGGGUGUAAACUACUGUCAGGGGUUAGAAAGUUCUGAUCAACCCCAGAGGAAGGCACGGCUAACUCUGUGCCAGCAGCCGCGGUAA